CCUAAACCAGCCCCUACUCCACAAGCGGCCCCUCAGCAAACUCCCCAACCAGCUGCAGCUCGUGCACCAUCCCCAGCUUCUGGCCCAGCACAAGUGCCCUCCACACUGACACAUGCAGUGUCUGCACCCACACCGGCCCCACAGUCAGUGCCUCUCUCUGAAACCCCUUCCCCAGUCCCAGAAAACACCCCGCCGGCUUCUGUUGCUGCAACAGCAGCUCUGGACUCAAACACAGCCCCAGCCUCGGCGUCAGCUGCUACUCUAGCCUCUGACCCAGCUUCAGCUCCUGAAGCAGCCCCGGCGUCUGCCCCGUCAGACCUCCCCACCCCUGCUGCCCAGCCAGAAGAGAAGCCAAGGGAAGACCCUGAGAAUCAACCAUCUGCCACUGAACCAGUUCACUCCUUUGCUUCCAGCCUUGUUGAUGAACUGGGGCUCCUUGAAGAAGCAGCGUCAAUACUGGUGACAGGUCCAGCCUAUGAGAACCUGGUGUCAGAGAUUAUGUCUAUGGGUUAUGAGCGAGACCAGGUAGUUGCUGCACUCAGAGCCAGUUACAACAACCCAGACCGAGCAGUGGAGUAUCUACUCAUGGGUAUUCCAGCCGAGGCCAGCGAUCUGCCACCUCAGGAGCCAGUUAGACACAGUGCUCCAUCCAACCCCCCCACCUCUGCUACACAACAACCACAACAGCCCCCAGCAGUCUCAAACACAGGGCCAGUGUCUGGCAGCCAGCCUCCCCCUGCUCUAGGAGGCUCUGUGUCCACAGGGAACCCUCUGGAGUUCCUGAGGAAUCAGCCUCAGUUCCAGCAGAUGAGACAGAUCAUCCAGCAGAACCCAGCCCUCCUGCCAGCCUUGCUGCAGCAGCUGGGCAGAGACAACCCGCAGCUGCUGCAGGGGCUGGGAACCUGUAUAUUAGCUGUAUGGUGGUCUUGUGUGUGUAUUACUUGCAGCAAAUCACGCAGCACCAGGAGCGUUUUGUGCAGAUGCUGAAUGAGCCUAGAGGUGGAGACACAGGAGGGGACGGGGCUGAAGCUCAGGGGACACCACAAACCAACUACAUCCAGGUCACCCCACAGGAGAAGGAGGCCAUUGAGAGGUUAAAAGCACUGGGCUUCCCUGAAGGCUUAGUCAUCCAGGCUUACUUCGCCUGCGAGAAGAAUGAGAAUCUGGCCGCUAACUUCCUGCUACAGCAAACAUGGGACGACGAGUAACCAAACAUCACCUGACACAUUACUGUUCAACAGAGGGCCGCAGAGUGGAUGACUUCGCUACACAAGGUCCCCCUGGGAGAAACAAGGACUGGAGAGGAAGAGGACAUUUCUUUUCACACCAUGUGACUGUGGUCUGAUGAUGGUGAUGAAGAUGAAGACACGCUGUGCUGCUUACUCUACAUUUUGCUGUGGUGAUCAUCAUAGGAGCUCACACUGAGCUGUGCCUCACUGCUGCUACAUCAUUUCUGCUGCCGCUUGUGCCGGGUGUUCACACUGAGAAAAGUCAUGCCAGAAAAUAGGUCUGCAGUCUGCACCACCAACAGGUGCCCUCUGCAGUCAGCUCACAGGUGCUUGUAGAGCAUGUGGUAAAUGUAGACAGUUUAUUUACGACAGAGUGUAUCUGUAGUGAAUAUGUACAUGACAAAACACAUUUUCAACACGUGCAGUUGCACCCUCCAUGUUGGGUAUACCUGAAAAUGUGAUGCAGACUGGUGACUUCACUGUUUGAGAGCUAGCAUUGCUUUAUAUUAAAGUUCAGGUCGGAUCAAUUCAUUUCUUCUGCUUCUUUGAUCCUUGGAAAAAAUCCUAAUAACUCUGCAAGUUAAAUAAAAUUGCUGCUGUUUGAAUUGCUAAGAAGUAACUCAUGGGAAGUCAAAAUAAAACAUUUGUCUUUUUUUUUUUUUUUACCUAGACAGUCGAAAUUUUGACUUUUAUGUUAUUAUUGACUCACCAUGAGUAUUAUUUAUAUUUAUAAUUUGCCCAACUUUUUUGUGGAAAUGGGCUUCCAAAAACAGACAAGUUUGGUCAAAUCGGUCAGCUGUAAGCAGAGAUUAACUUCACAACCAGAACCGGAUUUCAUUGCAUGUUCGGGGUUCUGGAACAUGCAAUGAAAUUGUUAUUACAAU
Molecule: RNA transcript, 2113 nt
Organism: Micropterus salmoides (largemouth bass)
Lineage: Eukaryota; Metazoa; Chordata; Actinopteri; Centrarchiformes; Centrarchidae
Gene name: UV excision repair protein RAD23 homolog B-like
Source: RefSeq, a predicted model, not a curated record